RNAcentral lists this ribosomal RNA (253 nucleotides) under uncultured Zavarzinella sp. RNAcentral describes it as "partial 16S ribosomal RNA". It matches the Rfam family "Bacterial small subunit ribosomal RNA", at positions 524 to 776 of the family's 1533-position model. Lineage: Bacteria; Pseudomonadati; Planctomycetota; Planctomycetia; Gemmatales; Gemmataceae. The record is from RNAcentral.
GACGAACCGUGCGAACGUUGUUCGGAAUCACUGGGCUUAAAGGGCGCGUAGGCGGGUCAUCAAGUCAGGGGUGAAAUCCUCCAGCUCAACUGGAGAACUGCCUUUGAUACUGAUGGUCUCGAGUGAGGUAGGGGCGUGCGGAACUGAUGGUGGAGCGGUGAAAUGUGUUGAUAUCAUCAGGAACUCCGGUGGCGAAAGCGGCACGCUGGACCUCCACUGACGCUGAGGCGCGAAAGCUAGGGGAGCAAACGGG